Molecule: ribosomal RNA, 427 nt
Filed under: Lingulaulax polyedra
Lineage: Eukaryota; Dinophyceae; Gonyaulacales; Lingulodiniaceae
Description: Lingulodinium polyedra partial Bacterial large subunit ribosomal RNA
Rfam family: Bacterial large subunit ribosomal RNA
Source: RNAcentral
UUGGGUCUGUUUAAUUGGGGCGACGACCUUAUUUACUGGAACCAAUGGUGUACAAAGUUCAGAAUAUGAAACUUUGUUAAAGGACUUGUAAGUGCAAAGAUACAAUUCAAGGUUUAAUGGCAGCUGUUUUGUUCAUUAUGUAAGCAGUGUUUUAGUGACCUUAUAAUUAAUUUAACAGAUAAAAGCUACUCAAGGGAUAACAGGCUUAAUAUGUUAGAUAGCUCACAUUAAAUAAAUGGUUUGGCACCUCGAUGUCGGCUUAUCUUAUCCAAAAUCUGUAGGCUUUGGUUUAUUGGUAGGAGUGCUCAUCCUAUAAUAAGGUACGUGAGCUGGGUUCAGAACGAUGUAAAUCAGUUUGGUCUAUAUCUUUAACAAUUAUAAAAAUGGGUAUGGAGUAGUUUGUUCAGUACGAAAGGACCAACAGACA